Non-coding RNA from Dipodomys ordii (Ord's kangaroo rat), 73 nucleotides. Lineage: Eukaryota; Metazoa; Chordata; Mammalia; Rodentia; Heteromyidae. The record is from Rfam.
GAGAAGGUGGCUCAGUGGUAGAGCGCUUGCCUUGCACACAUGAGGCCCUGGGUUUGAUUCCUCAGCCCACAUA